RNAcentral lists this long non-coding RNA (776 nucleotides) under Prunus persica (peach). RNAcentral's name for it is "long non-coding RNA (PPER_LNC005366)". Lineage: Eukaryota; Viridiplantae; Streptophyta; Magnoliopsida; Rosales; Rosaceae. The record is from RNAcentral.
UAAUAAAUUUAUUAAUUUAAUAAUUUAAGGUGUUUAAGCACUUCUAGUGGUAUAUCCAUAAAUUUGUCUUGUGGGGCUGGAAAAAAACAAUCUUUUUUUUUCCUUUUUUGAGAGAAAUGCCAUUGAUUGCAUUUAUAAUUCAGGCCUAAAGGUCGUCAGUUACAAGAACCAAUACGUAUACAAAUAAUCACAUAGGAUUAAUACAAAUAGGGAAGCACAGUAAACCACAAGGACUUAAUCUAAAUACGGAGGAGUCCACUAGCAACAAGAAGCACGCAAUGUGUACCUCCACACAUAGUCACACAUGGCAUAAGAAAUUCCAGCAAAAAAGCUGUAAGCUUAGAAAAACCAUACAUAUACCUCAUCACACCAAAUUACAACUACAAUAUUUUAACUCUUACAAGUGAAAAAUACAAAUAGAGACUAGAAACACGCAACAAACUCAUAAGGAGUUGAUGCACUUAUUACAACUCAAAACACUGCAACACAAAAAAAGUAUAAAAUAAAAAAAAAAUCGAUCUACCACCACGUCGUCACCAAGACAGCCAAGGCGGAUGGGUUUGAGGGGAUGGGCAAGGAGCAGAAGAGGAGAGGGAUGGAGGUCACCGACUCCCAAAAGGGGCGGCAGCGAGAACUUCUAUCUCUUAGGGUAUCAAAAAUAUGAAUUAUAAAAAAAAUAUAUCAUACUUCUUAUCUCAACAUCUUUCACGCAUUUUAUCUAGCAUCUUACUCACACCUUAAUGAAAUUAUCAAUGAAGGAAUGAACUAAGACAAUA